CCUGGGAACUGCGUUNUGAACUGGGUGACUAGAGUGUGUCAGAGGGAGGUAGAAUUCCACGUGUAGCAGUGAAAUGCGUAGAGAUGUGGAGGAAUACCGAUGGCGAAGGCAGCNUCCUGGGAUAACACUGACGNUCAUGCCCGAAAGCGUGGGUAGCAAACAGGAUUAGAUACCCUGGUAGUCCACGCCCUAAACGAUGUCGAUUAGCUGUUGGGCAGCAUGACUGCUUAGUAGCGAAGCUAACGCGUGAAAUCGACCGCCUGGGGAGUACGGUCGCAAGAUUAAAACUCAAAGGAAUUGACGGGGACCCGCACAAGCGGUGGAUGAUGUGGAUUAAUUCGAUGCAACGCGAAGAACCUUACCUGGUCUUGACAUGUACGGAACCCUCCAGAGACGGAGGGGUGCCUUCGGGAGCCGUAAUACAGGUGCUGCAUGGCUGUCGUCAGCUCGUGUCGUGAGAUGUUGGGUUAAGUCCCGCAACGAGCGCAACCCUUGUCAUUAGUUGCCAUCAUUAAGUUGGGCACUNUAAUGAGACUGCCGGUGACAAGCCGGAGGAAGGUGGGGAUGACGUCAAGUCCUCAUGGCCCUUAUGACCAGGGCUUCACACGUCAUNCAAUGGUCGGUACAGAGGGUAGCCAAGCCGCGAGGUGGAGCCAAUCUCACAAAACCGAUNGUAGUCCGGA
Molecule: ribosomal RNA, 683 nt
Filed under: uncultured bacterium
Lineage: Bacteria
Description: bacterial SSU rRNA
Rfam family: Bacterial small subunit ribosomal RNA
Source: RNAcentral